GACGAACGCUGGCGGCGUGCUUAACACAUGCAAGUCGAACGGAAAGGCCCUGCUUUUGUGGGGUGCUCGAGUGGCGAACGGGUGAGUAACACGUGAGUAACCUGCCCUUGACUUUGGGAUAACUUCAGGAAACUGGGGCUAAUACCGGAUAGGAGCUCCUGCUGCAUGGUGGGGUUUGGAACGUUUCGGCGGUUGGGGAUGGACUCGCGGCUUAUCAGCUGGUUGGUGGGGUAGUGGCUUACCAAGGCUUUGACGGGUAGCCGGCCUGAGAGGGUGACCGGCCACAUUGGGACUGAGAUACGGCCCAGACUCCUACGGGAGGCAGCAGUGGGGAAUAUUGCACAAUGGGCGGAAGCCUGAUGCAGCAACGCCGCGUGCGGGAUGACGGCCUUCGGGUUGUAAACCGCUUUCGCCUGUGACGAAGCGUGAGUGACGGUAAUGGGUAAAGAAGCACCGGCUAACUACGUG
Molecule: ribosomal RNA, 468 nt
Filed under: uncultured bacterium
Lineage: Bacteria
Description: partial 16S ribosomal RNA
Rfam family: Bacterial small subunit ribosomal RNA
Source: RNAcentral